This 253-nucleotide ribosomal RNA is filed under the name uncultured bacterium. RNAcentral describes it as "partial 16S ribosomal RNA". It matches the Rfam family "Bacterial small subunit ribosomal RNA", at positions 524 to 776 of the family's 1533-position model. The record is from RNAcentral.
UACAGAGGGGGCAAGCGUUGUUCGGAAUUACUGGGCGUAAAGGGCUCGUAGGUGGCCACCUAGGUCGGCCGUGAAAUCCCCAGGCUCAACUUGGGAACUGCGUCUGAUACUGGAUGGCUUGAAUUCGGGAGAGGGAUGCAGAAUUCCAGGUGUAGCGGUGAAAUGCGUAGAUAUCUGGAGGAAUACCGGUGGCGAAGGCGGCAUCCUGGACCGAUAUUGACACUGAUGAGCGAAAGCUAGGGGAGCAAACGGG